UACGUAGGGGGCGAGCGUUGUCCGGAUUUAUUGGGCGUAAAGGGCGCGUAGGCGGCCUUCUAAGUCGAACGUGAAAUCCCCGGGCUCAACCCGGGAACUGCGUCCGAUACUGGGAGGCUUGAAUCCGGGAGAGGGAUGUGGAAUUCCAGGUGUAGCGGUGAAAUGCGUAGAUAUCUGGAGGAACACCGGUGGCGAAGGCGGCAUCCUGGACCGGUAUUGACGCUGAGGCGCGAAAGCUAGGGGAGCAAACGGG
This 253-nucleotide ribosomal RNA is filed under the name uncultured bacterium. Its description in RNAcentral is "partial 16S ribosomal RNA". It matches the Rfam family "Bacterial small subunit ribosomal RNA", at positions 524 to 776 of the family's 1533-position model. The record is from RNAcentral.